Molecule: ribosomal RNA, 614 nt
Filed under: fungal endophyte
Lineage: Eukaryota; Fungi
Description: eukaryotic LSU rRNA
Rfam family: 5.8S ribosomal RNA (bases 176-329)
Source: RNAcentral
UUACUGAGUUUACGCUCUAUAACCCUUUGUGAACAUACCUAUAACUGUUGCUUCGGCGGGUAGGGUCUCCGCGACCCUCCCGGCCUCCCGCCUCCGGGCGGGUCGGCGCCCGCCGGAGGAUAACCAAACUCUGAUUUAACGACGUUUCUUCUGAGUGGUACAAGCAAAUAAUCAAAACUUUUAACAACGGAUCUCUUGGUUCUGGCAUCGAUGAAGAACGCAGCGAAAUGCGAUAAGUAAUGUGAAUUGCAGAAUUCAGUGAAUCAUCGAAUCUUUGAACGCACAUUGCGCCCGCCAGCAUUCUGGCGGGCAUGCCUGUUCGAGCGUCAUUUCAACCCUCAAGCUCUGCUUGGUGUUGGGGCCCUACAGCUGAUGUAGGCCCUCAAAGGUAGUGGCGGACCCUCCCGGAGCCUCCUUUGCGUAGUAACUUUACGUCUCGCACUGGGAUCCGGAGGGACUCUUGCCGUAAAACCCCCCAAUUUUCCAAAGGUUGACCUCGGAUCAGGUAGGAAUACCCGCUGAACUUAAGCAUAUCAAUAAGCGGAGGAAAAGAAACCAACAGGGAUUGCCUCAGUAACGGCGAGUGAAGCGGCAACAGCUCAAAUUUGAAAUCU